UACGUAGGUGGCAAGCGUUGUCCGGAAUUAUUGGGCGUAAAGCGCGCGCAGGCGGCCUCUUAAGUCUGAUGUGAAAGCCCCCGGCUCAACCGGGGAGGGCCAUUGGAAACUGGGAGGCUUGAGUAUAGGAGAGAAGAGUGGAAUUCCACGUGUAGCGGUGAAAUGCGUAGAGAUGUGGAGGAACACCAGUGGCGAAGGCGACGUCUUUGGCCUAUAACUGACGCUGAGGCGCGAAAGCGUGGGGAGCAAACAGG
Molecule: ribosomal RNA, 254 nt
Filed under: uncultured bacterium
Lineage: Bacteria
Description: partial 16S ribosomal RNA
Rfam family: Bacterial small subunit ribosomal RNA
Source: RNAcentral